Flavobacterium frigoris is the source of this 123-nucleotide non-coding RNA. NCBI's taxonomy places the organism in Bacteria, Pseudomonadati, Bacteroidota, Flavobacteriia, Flavobacteriales, Flavobacteriaceae. The record is from Rfam.
UACAUUUAUAUAUUUGUAACAUGAACACAAAUACAAACAAUACUUGGUGGUGGAACAAUUUACGUCAAACGUCGUGAACUAAGCUCCUAUGGUAUUAUCCACUAUAAAUAUAAAAGGCUUGUC